Molecule: ribosomal RNA, 406 nt
Filed under: uncultured phototrophic eukaryote
Lineage: Eukaryota
Description: bacterial SSU rRNA
Rfam family: Bacterial small subunit ribosomal RNA
Source: RNAcentral
GAUGAACGCUGGCGGUAUGCCUAACACAUGCAAGUCGUACGAGAGUUUUCGGACUCUAGUGGCGGACGGGUGAGUAACACGUGAGAAUUUGCCUUUAGGAGGGGGAUAACAAUUGGAAACGAAUGCUAAUACCCCAUAUGCUUUCGAGUGAAACGGAUUUAUCCGCCUAAAGAGAAGCUCGCGGCUGAUUAGCUUGUUGGUAAGGUAAGAGCUUACCAAGGCGACGAUCAGUAUCUGGUUUGAGAGGACGAUCAGACACACUGGAGCUGAGACACGGCCCAGACUCCUACGGGAGGCAGCAGUGGGGAAUAUUGCGCAAUGGGGGAAACCCUGACGCAGCAACGCCGCGUGAAGGAAGAAGGUCUUCGGAUCGUAAACUUUUGUCUUUGGGGACGAAAAAAAUGAC